UACGUAGGGUGCGAGCGUUGUCCGGAAUUACUGGGCGUAAAGAGCUCGUAGGUGGUUUGUCGCGUUGUUCGUGAAAUCUCACGGCUUAACUGUGAGCGUGCGGGCGAUACGGGCAGACUGGAGUACUGCAGGGGAGACUGGAAUUCCUGGUGUAGCGGUGGAAUGCGCAGAUAUCAGGAGGAACACCGGUGGCGAAGGCGGGGUCUCUGGGCAGUAACUGACGCUGAGGAGCGAAAGCGUGGGGAGCGAACAGG
RNAcentral lists this ribosomal RNA (254 nucleotides) under uncultured bacterium. Its description in RNAcentral is "partial 16S ribosomal RNA". It matches the Rfam family "Bacterial small subunit ribosomal RNA", at positions 524 to 776 of the family's 1533-position model. The record is from RNAcentral.